Molecule: ribosomal RNA, 500 nt
Filed under: uncultured bacterium
Lineage: Bacteria
Description: partial 16S ribosomal RNA
Rfam family: Bacterial small subunit ribosomal RNA
Source: RNAcentral
AUUGAACGCUGGCGGAAUGCUUUGCACAUGCAAGUCGAACGGCAGCACGGACUUCGGUCUGGUGGCGAGUGGCGAACGGGUGAGUAAUGUAUCGGAACGUACCCAAUAAUGGGGGAUAACGAGUCGAAAGAUUCGCUAAUACCGCAUACGCCCUACGGGGGAAAGCUGGGGACCUUCGGGCCUGGCGUUAAUGGAGCGGCCGAUAUCAGAUUAGGUAGUUGGUGGGGUAAAGGCCCACCAAGCCAACGAUCUGUAGCUGGUCUGAGAGGACGACCAGCCACACUGGAACUGAGACACGGUCCAGACUCCUACGGGAGGCAGCAGUGGGGAAUUUUGGACAAUGGGCGAAAGCCUGAUCCAGCCAUUCCGCGUGCAGGAUGAAGGCCCUCGGGUUGUAAACUGCUUUUGUACAGAACGAAAAGGUUUCUACUAAUACUAGGAGCUCAUGACGGUACUGUAAGAAUAAGCACCGGCUAACUACGUGCCAGCCGCCGCCGUAA